AUACGGAGGGGGUUAGUGUUGUUCGGAAUUACUGGGCGUAAAGCGUACGUAGGCGGACUGGAAAGUUGGGGGUGAAAUCCCGGGGCUCAACCCCGGAACUGCCUCCAAAACUUCCAAUCUAGAGAUCGAGAGAGGUGAGUGGAAUUCCAAGUGUAGAGGUGAAAUUCGUAGAUAUUUGGAGGAACACCAGUGGCGAAGGCGGCUCACUGGCUCGAUACUGACGCUGAGGUGCGAAAGCGUGGGGAGCAAACAGGAUUAGAAACCCCUGUAGUCC
This 274-nucleotide ribosomal RNA is filed under the name uncultured bacterium. RNAcentral's name for it is "partial 16S ribosomal RNA". It matches the Rfam family "Bacterial small subunit ribosomal RNA", at positions 523 to 796 of the family's 1533-position model. The record is from RNAcentral.